UGGGGAAUCUUGCACAAUGGGCGGAAGCCUGAUGCAGCGACGCCGCGUGAGGGAUGACGGCCUUCGGGUUGUAAACCUCUUCAGGCCCUGACGAAGCGAGAGUGACGGUAGGGGCAGAAGAAGCACCGGCCAACUACGUGCCAGCAGCCGCGGUAAUACGUAGGGUGCGAGCGUUGUCCGGAAUUAUUGGGCGUAAAGAGCUCGUAGGCGGUUUGUCGCGUCUGCCGUGAAAAACCGGGGGCUUAACUCUCGGCUUGCGGUGGAUACGGGCAGACUAGAGUGCGGUAGGGGAGACUGGAAUUCCUGGUGUAGCGGUGAAAUGCGCAGAUAUCAGGAGGAACACCGGUGGCGAAGGCGGGUCUCUGGGCCGAUACUGACGCUGAGGAGCGAAAGCGUGGGGAGCGAACAGGAUUAGAUACCC
Molecule: ribosomal RNA, 421 nt
Filed under: uncultured bacterium
Lineage: Bacteria
Description: bacterial SSU rRNA
Rfam family: Bacterial small subunit ribosomal RNA
Source: RNAcentral